This 468-nucleotide ribosomal RNA is filed under the name uncultured bacterium. RNAcentral describes it as "partial 16S ribosomal RNA". It matches the Rfam family "Bacterial small subunit ribosomal RNA", at positions 28 to 507 of the family's 1533-position model. The record is from RNAcentral.
GACGAACGCUGGCGGCGUGCUUAACACAUGCAAGUCGAACGGAAAGGCCCCGCUUUUGUGGGGUGCUCGAGUGGCGAACGGGUGAGUAACACGUGAGUAACCUGCCCUUGACUUUGGGAUAACUUCAGGAAACUGGGGCUAAUACCGGAUAGGAGCUCCUGCUGCAUGGUGGGGGUUGGAUAGUUUCGGCGGUUGGGGAUGGACUCGCGGCUUACCAGCUUGUUGGUGGGGUAGUGCCUUACCAAGGCUUUGACGGGUAGCCGGCCUGAGAGGGUGACCGGCCAAAUUGGACCUGGGAUCCGGCCCAGCUCCCUACGGGGGGAAGCGGUGGGGAUUAUUGCAAAUUGGGCGGAAGCCGGAUGCAGCAAGCCCGCGUGCGGAAUGACGGCCUUGGGGUUGUAAACCGCUUUCGCCUGUGACGAAGCGUGAGUGACGGUAAUGGGUAAAGAAGCACCGGCUAACUACGUG